CAGUAGCCGCGGUAACACGUAGGGUGCGAGCGUUAAUCGGAAUUACUGGGCGUAAAGCGUGCGCAGGCGGUUCGUUAAGACAGAUGUGAAAUCCCCGGGCUUAACCUGGGAACUGCAUUUGUGACUGGCGAGCUAGAGUAUGGCAGAGGGGGGUGGAAUUCCACGUGUAGCAGUGAAAUGCGUAGAGAUGUGGAGGAACACCGAUGGCGAAGGCAGCCCCCUGGGCCAAUACUGACGCUCAUGCACGAAAGCGUGGGGAGCAAACAGGAUUAGAUACCCGUGUAGUCCCUGUCUCUUAUAC
RNAcentral lists this ribosomal RNA (301 nucleotides) under uncultured bacterium. RNAcentral describes it as "partial 16S ribosomal RNA". It matches the Rfam family "Bacterial small subunit ribosomal RNA", at positions 509 to 807 of the family's 1533-position model. The record is from RNAcentral.